Molecule: long non-coding RNA, 5621 nt
Filed under: Sus scrofa (pig)
Lineage: Eukaryota; Metazoa; Chordata; Mammalia; Artiodactyla; Suidae
Description: lncRNA (ENSSSCG00055006091.1)
Source: RNAcentral
UUUUUUUUUUUUUGUCUUUUUUGUCUUUUUCAGAGCUGCACCUGCAGCAUGUGGAGGUUCCCAGGCUAGGGGUCUAAUCGGAGCUACAGCUGCUGGCCUACGUCACAGCCACAGCACCACCAGAUCCAAGCUGCAUCUGCAACCUAUACAUAGCUCACGGCAACGCCAGAUCCUUAACCCACUAAGCAAGGCCAGGGAUCGAACCUGCAACCUCAUGGUUCCUAGUCAGAUUCGUUUCCACUGUGCCACCCCAGGCACUUUGCAUUAUUUUUUUAAUUAUGUGAAUUUCAUGUGUAACCCAAAACAACUUGGGGCCCGGGUUACAACAAAAUUAAAACUUAAAUGGAAUUCUACUGUUGACCUAAUUUCUCAGAAAAUAUUUAUCAGUAUAUUUGCCAUAAUUUGGGGGUAUUUCUGGACACAAGGAGGCACUGCAUCUCUCCACCCAUUUUGAAGUUAGAUAUGGCCAUGUGGAUUGUUUUGACCGAAGAAAUGUCAGCUGGAGUGGCCUGUGUCCAUUUGGGUGGACACUUUAAGAACUAGUCCAUAAUUUGUCACUUGCCCUUUCCUUCUGCCACAGCAACUGGCAAUGCAACAGAUGGUGGCCACUCCAUCACAGGGAUUUCAGAGUGAAGACAGCACCUGUCAAUCUAGAGCAGAACUUGACUGCAGUGGAGCCUGACUGAGAAAUAUGCUUUGUAUUCAGCUCUCCUGUCAACACCCAAUUAAAACUAUGCCUUUGAAGUAAAACCUUUAUGCCCCUGAUUCUUCUCCCUGUUCCUGCUCCAGCCCUAGAUGUCAGAAGUGUCAAACGGAGUAAUGUAAAAAGACAAGGGUGGAAAUCGUGACAAAAUGGGCCACAUUCUUUUCUCCCCUGCAAGCUUAAGAGUCAGGUAAUUUAUAGGCUGCUUGAGUGAAUGAAACUUUUACAUUCAACUCUCCUAGAGUUUUAAAAUUUUAUCUUAAAUGUUUAAGUUAUUUAAUAUUUAAAUGAGAAACAUACCCCCAUGAUUCAAAGUUCAAAUAGUGUAAAGUACACAAUGAAAAGUCUCUCUCCAACCAUUGAUCCUAUUAGUCCAGUCCUAACCCUCAAUUCCUCAGAGGUUUUAUUAUAUUUUUAUACUCACGUAUGCUUGCAGAGACUUUUUACAUUUUUAUUUUAGACGCAGCUUACUAUAUGCACUGCCAUAUUAACUACCUUUUUAUAAAAAAGCUAUUUGUAAGUAUGUGAUAGCAAUCUCGACCAUUGUAAUUCGUCAGGGAAAGGGGAAAAAAAAACAGUAGAAUUUGAUUAAAAGUUUGUGACAGGAGUUCCUGCCAUGGCACAGAGGAUUAAGGAUUCAGCAUUGCUACAGCUGUGGCAUAGAUCACAGCUUCAGUUUGGAUUCGAUCCCUGGCCCAGGCACUUCCAUAUAUCACAGGUGCACCCAAGAAAAGAAAGUUUGUGAAUUAAGAAAUAAAGUUACUUUCUUUUCUGUUCGUUUGCAUUCAAUAAGUUGUCCAUGUGACUCUCUAGGUUUCAAAAGGAAAGAAAGGAGGGACAAAAGCUGAUAUUCUGGAAAAUUUGUUCUGUGAAGUAUGUUUCGUGUAAAUUCAUGCAGCAGAAAGAGUGUCUGCUAACCCUUCAGAUAAGACAGCAAUGAAGAGAUGAGUUGAGGUUGAAUUGUGUGAAUCUGGACAGCGGCACCUUGCAAGGGAUCCCAGGGAAAGGAAAACCUAUGGGCAGUAGAUGGAAGAAACAAAAGAAACACCUUGUCUUAUUAACUAAUUUGAUCUUCAUAGUAAGCUCUAAGGUGGGCCUCAUUUUAUCAUGGUCCAGAUAAGGGUCAAUUCAGAUGCCAAGAUUUUACAGCAGACAGCUGGUCUGUGGAAGGAUCCCACACUCCCUCCUUCUGUUCAGCCAUGCCCAGGAUUAUGGAAGAGAGGUGAUUGAGUAGAAGAGGACAUUGAAUCUGCCUAAGGUUUAAGGAUUUUCUAUGACUUCGGGAAAAGAAAUGGGAAAAUAUGAGAAACAAAAAUAAAAUAAAAUUAAAUGAAUUUUGAAAAUGGAUUUUCUCUAAGAAUUAUCAGCAAAAUGACAAAAAUAUUAUCUGGAAUUGCAGUUUCGUACAACUACUCUACAAGCAAAUAUUCUGAGAAUUCUCCAAAGAUGCACACAAAACAAAAUAUAUCCUUCAAGGUUUGGAGACUAGCACUUGGAAUAUUACUUAGAACCAACAAUGGAGUUAUUAACCAAAACUUUGGAAAUGGUCUCAUCUAUGAGAAUGCAAGUGUUCAAAGAAUAACAAGAACUUGAAACAAUGUUCAAUAGAUAAAUGCACUUAAUUAAAAAAAUUACACUUAAAUGAAAAUCAGUGUGCUAGAAAAUAAAUAAGCAUUUUAUUUCUUCCAAACAAGUAUAUAUGUGUGUGUGCAUAUAUAUAUAUAUAUAUAUAAAACAAUAAAAGAUUUUCAAACUGUAAAGAUGUCCAACCUCCUUGUCAAGCAAAAGAUGUUAGAAAAUUAAUUUUCAGAAAAAUGUAUAGCUAUUAAUAUCACCUCUAUCCUUUACUGUGAUAGUGGUGACAAGAAUAAGAAAAGAUUUAAAUGUCAAAGUAGUUCAUGUUAGGUAUUUUUCCUUUCUAGAAUGCCUUAAGAAUAUAUAUUUUUAAUAGCUAUUCUAUCUUUAGAGCCACCCAUGGAACACUCCAUUACUUCUAAAUUGUAUUUCUUUUUAUCAGUCAUUCUUUAUUUAUUUAUUUUGGAAUUGUAUCCCUCAUGCCUCAGCAGAAAGUACUACCUUAAGAGAAAUCAAAAUACAGGCCUCAUAGAAGCAAGAGAAACCCAAAGUAUGUAUGUAAAUUUUUUACCCAAAAUGGUAGUGUAUGAUAUCCACUGCUGCAUUUUUAAAUAUCUUUUAAAAAGUCAACUAUUUGUAGAUACAUGUCAACAACUUAAGAUUGUGCACUGCCCUGCAAAAGCCACUCAUUUAGGGGAAACUCAGCUCCACAGUAGAACUAGGCAGCAGACCGGUACCAUGGCAUGGGUGUAUUUCAUACGCCCAUGGCAUGGAAUUCAUCACAGAUUGACAUUUUCCUUGACCCAGUCUGAAAUCUAGUAGGGCCCGGGUGGUUGUCCAGUGGCUCAGGGUGAAUUGUGCAAAAAGCCUUCUCCACAGAGCAGCCUUAGGAGGGGGGACAGCACUCAAAAGCCCUCAUGGGGGAUACUAAGAAAGUGACGUGGAUGACACACAUUUCUUCCAACACAGAGGGCACUUCGCAUCUUCAAGGAGCACAGACUUGAGUGCCCCAGGCUGGGGACUGUCCUCAAGUCUCCCAGGCUGGCUGCCUGCCAGCCACCGAGUUUCUAUGCAAAUAAGUGAAGACUUGAAUUUGGCAUUGGGAACUGUACCAAGUGAUUUGGUUUAGCAGAGGUCAGUCUUUGCUGUGGAAAAAGCAUUCUCUUUCCCAGGCAGGGAAUGGAACGAGGCCUCUCUCUGGUUGGCCCAUGUGACCACAGAGCAUUUUUCCAUGGCAGCUGGCAGUGUGAGGAAGGGGAUCAGUCCCAGGGGACCCAGUGGGUUGGCUGGACAUGAACUGUUAGGUUAUGGUGGAAAUCUUUUAUUUUUUGUAAUUGAGAUAUAAUUUACAACUUCAGGUGUACAACAAAGUGAUUCAGUUACUUCAGUUACAUUCUUUUCCAGAUAUAUUCCUGGAAAUCUUAAAAAGAGACAAAUAUUCUAAGUUUCUAGGUGAGGAGCUGGUCCCCGAACGAAGGGCAAGAAACAAGAGAAGAAUCCCUUCUCUACUAUUCUUUCAAGUGACAUGAGGAAACAAUGGCACAUUUAAUGCACAUUUACUAGAACUAAAGCAAAUAUGAAUGCAAAAACAAAUAGCAAUACCAAAUAGCCAAGAUUUGGGGAGCGCUUUUGAUACUUCAGGUGUUGGUCUAAACAAUUUCAAGCACGAUCUCAUUUAAGCCUCCGAUCAUCCUACCAGCCAGUUAGGGCCAUGAAUUCCAUGUUAUAGAGUCUUAGGGGGGGUUAAGCCACUUCCCCAAGGCCAUAACCUUGCCCAAGGGAAAGACGUGAAUUCAGGCAAGAAAACAUCUGUGCAUGGGCUUUUAAUCACUAAUAAGAGAUGAAUAAUAAAAAAUGAGGAACAAAGAUUUGGUAAAAGUUUACUUUCCUAAAUUGCGGGAGAAAACAAUCCUUUAGACUCUGAACUUUUUGUGCACCUAAGAGCUUCAGUGAUCCAUCAUUCUGUGAGUCCCGCCAUCCAUCACUGCUUGGGCCACCAGGGAUCAUGAGAAGCUCUAGAUGCCAGUAAAAGUCUUAGCAUUUUAGCAGGACCGGUUUCUCGGUUUCUCGUGUAUCUUAAAUAUCUUUAAAUCCUAAAGCUUAGAAUAGCAUAUAGAACCUAUCACUAAACAUUUGUUAUAUUGGCUGUAACAGAUCUGGAUUCACAAGAGACCAAUUUGUAUGGUAAGAAAGAGAAUUUAAAGGUCUCUAAAAUGGUCUGUGUACUUGCUUAGACCUCGUUUCUUUUUCUCUAGUUUCUUUAUACCUCAUGGAUUGCUUUUCUAGAUGUUUCAAAUCAAAGUGACCUUUUCCUAAAUGAAUAUGCUGCUAAAAACAAAACAAAACAAAACAAAAAACACCUCACUGGAAUACUGGAUCCAGCUCAACUGUCAUGUAAUCUUUUCUGAAUUCCUUUAGUAAAUUUCUUACGUUAUGAUUUUUACUAAAAAUAUCAGCAGCUUGUUUUUAAAAAGUAGAAAAACUGAGUUGUUCAUCUAAUAUCCAACAGACCGUAAGCUCAAGGGGAGCAGGGACAUUUUUCUACCUCACUUAUCAAUGUGUCUGUCCUCAGUACCUAAAACAAUACUUAGCACAUGUAAGCAGCAAAUUUCCAUAUCCAUUCCCUUAUUACGAACCCAGGAGAGUUGAGUGUAACCUUUGAAAUACUUUAAUAUAGGAGUUCCCGUCAUGGCUCAGAGGUUAAUGAACCUGACUAGCAUCCAUGAGGAUGAAGGUUUGAUCCCUGGCCUCGCCCAGUGGGUUAAGGAUACAGCGUUGCUGUGAUCUGUUGUGUAGGUCACAGACGUGGCUCAGAUCCUGGCUUGCCGUGGCUGUGGUGUAGGCUGGCAGCUAUAGCUCUGAUUCAAUCCCUAGCCUGGGAACCUCCAUAUGAUGCGAGUGCAGCGAAAGACAGACAGACAGAGAGACUUUAAUACAAUAGACAUACCAAGAAUACAAGAUUGAAAGAGAGAUGUCAGCAAACAUACCAAGAAUAUAAGAUUAUAUGGAUUCACUAUUAUAUUUGAUUAAGCACUUAAUGGUAUCUGAGAAAAGGAAUAUAGCCAAAAAUUUAUUUUGAAUAGACCACAGACUUAUACAUAAAAGAUAAAAUGGUACAGUUUCUAGAAGAAAACAUAAGAAGAUUAUCUGUAACUUAUUGGUAGGCAAAGGUUUUUUGAGCAGGGCACAGAAAAGCAGUAACUAUUAAAGAAAAACAUGGGUAAAUUGGACUUCAUCAUAAUUAAAAACUGCUCAAGGAAAUAAAUAACACAGCCAUAGAAUGGGAGAAAAUAUUCACCAAACAUAUAUCUGACACUGAACUUGUAUCCAGAAUACAGAAAGA